RNAcentral lists this ribosomal RNA (465 nucleotides) under Vreelandella stevensii. RNAcentral describes it as "partial 16S ribosomal RNA". It matches the Rfam family "Bacterial small subunit ribosomal RNA", at positions 338 to 795 of the family's 1533-position model. Lineage: Bacteria; Pseudomonadati; Pseudomonadota; Gammaproteobacteria; Oceanospirillales; Halomonadaceae. The record is from RNAcentral.
CCUACGGGGGGCAGCAGUGGGGAAUAUUGGACAAUGGGGGGAACCCUGAUCCAGCCAUGCCGCGUGUGUGAAGAAGGCCCUCGGGUUGUAAAGCACUUUCAGUGAGGAAGAACGCCUGGUGGUUAAUACCCAUCAGGAAAGACAUCACUCACAGAAGAAGCACCGGCUAACUCCGUGCCAGCAGCCGCGGUAAUACGGAGGGUGCGAGCGUUAAUCGGAAUUACUGGGCGUAAAGCGCGCGUAGGUGGCUUGAUAAGCCGGUUGUGAAAGCCCCGGGCUCAACCUGGGAACGGCAUCCGGAACUAUCAAGCUAGAGUGCAGGAGAGGAAGGUAGAAUUCCCGGUGUAGCGGUGAAAUGCGUAGAGAUCGGGAGGAAUACCAGUGGCGAAGGCGGUCUUCUGGACUGACACUGACACUGAGGUGCGAAAGCGUGGGUAGCAAACAGGAUUAGAUACCCUGGUAGUC